This 344-nucleotide ribosomal RNA is filed under the name uncultured Oscillibacter sp. RNAcentral's name for it is "bacterial SSU rRNA". It matches the Rfam family "Bacterial small subunit ribosomal RNA", at positions 355 to 712 of the family's 1533-position model. Lineage: Bacteria; Bacillati; Bacillota; Clostridia; Eubacteriales; Oscillospiraceae. The record is from RNAcentral.
UGGGGAAUAUUGGGCAAUGGGACGCAAGUCUGACCCAGCAACGCCGCGUGAAGGAAGAAGGCUUUCGGGUUGUAAACUUCUUUUGUCAGGGAACAGUAGAAGAGGGUACCUGACGAAUAAGCCACGGCUAACUACGUGCCAGCAGCCGCGGUAAUACGUAGGUGGCAAGCGUUGUCCGGAUUUACUGGGUGUAAAGGGCGUGUAGCCGGGUGUGUAAGUCAGAUGUGAAAUCUGGAGGCUCAACCUCCAAACUGCAUUUGAAACUGCGCAUCUUGAGUAUCGGAGAGGUCAUCGGAAUUCCUAGUGUAGCGGUGAAAUGCGUAGAUAUUAGGGAAGAACACCAG